AACCCCCAAUACCCCUUUACCCGUCUCAUUUGCCAAAUCCCUUCCCCCUUCCCCGUCUUUGAUAGAUACGAAAACCAAACUGCCCUAAACCCUAGCUGCCGGCACACCCCACCACCCUUAAACCGGCGGCCACCACCCCAAACCCGACCAAAACGACACCCUAGAACCGCCAAAGCCUCCUCUUUCCAAAACCCCAAUCCAUAUGUUUCGAAUCUUUACAGAACCUUUCGAAUCUUGGGUCGAAAAUGGACCGAAAAAUCCCAAAGUAGGCGAUUGGGUUUGAUAUGAACGAAUUAGGUCCGUUUGGACUUUAUUCUUGUGUUUUUCUAAAACAAAACACACGAAUAAAAUCCGAGUGGACCAAAAUCGGAAGGAAUGUGGAGGUUUUGAAUUUUUGUUCUCGCUUAUGUUCGAUUCCAGGUACCUUUGCUUGCAAUUUUUUUUGUUGUUUGUUUUGUUUAUCUUGCUUAUUUUUGUCAUUUGAUGUUGUCUCAUUUCUUCUACUACCCCUUCUUCGAUUUCUUCAUGUUCUGGCCGGUUUUAGCUCGUGUGGUGGGGUCGAUUUGCUUGUUUGAUUCGUAUACGGUUAUCGACUAUGAAUCGAUCAUUUGUUAGUUAAUCCGUUACGAAUUGGAUACGAAUAUUAAUUGAUAGGUCAAACUUUAUCGAUUCUAAUUUUUGUCUUCUUUUUUGCAUUUUUAUCUGUUUAAGAAUUCGAUUCGCCUUGUUGAUGCUCGACUCAAUAGUUAAACUCGCUGAUAAAUUGAUUUUGUGUGAACAUGUCUAAUAUUAAUUCAUUUAUGGCCGAGUCUGUUUGUGAAUUAGAUAUUGUUGAUUUGAAAUCACGUUAUGAUGAAUGGUUUACAGCUUUGAAGUUAGGAAGAUUGGUUUGGUUAUAGCUGUAUUUUUAAUACACCUUGGUUGACAUCUUUAAGAGUAAAAGUCAGAUGUAGGAUAAUUUUAAUAUUAAAAAGCUGAAAAUGCGCAUGAAAAGAAUAGUGGAACCUGCUGUACAGUAGGAUUUUCAGUACUUUAUGAUUUUCAGAAGUUUAAAAUUUAAAGUUCCAUUCCUAGACAAACUUUAGUGGAAAAACAAAGGAAUAAGAUGGAAUCUAAUCAGUUUUAAAUUGUUUUAAUAGGCUGUAAAGAGAGUAUAGUUUGGCUAUAUAAGAGAAGGUUUCAGGUUAUGUUUGAAGACAGAAUUGGAGGAACAGAAUUUUGAGAGAAUUUGGAGAUCAGUUAGAGAGUCUUUGAGAAAUCCAGCGAGAGUUAGAAAAAUUAAAAGUGAGGUCCUCCUACUUUGAAAUCAGUACAGUAUUGUUACUGUUCCAUUGAACCUCCAAGUUUUCUUGCUGCACUUGUUUAUUGCUGUUUAGUUUGAAACUGUCAUCGUUUGGAAUCUGCUACUGGUUUCUCCUGCUAGCGUCUAAGCCUUUCCUGGGAUUUUCUGCUACUGUUUGUUGCUGGUGGCUGUUUGCUUGCUUUGUUUGAGCUGAUACUGAUCCUUUCUUCUUUUAUUUCUACUAUUAAAGCUCGGGUACACAUUUCUGAGAUUGUAUUUUCUCCUAUCGACAGUGAAAUGGAAUCGGGACUUAAGCUCUAUUGUGGGACUGUUAAUUGAAUGAUUCUGUUAUUGUUGUAAACUAAAUUAGGAGUUUUCUAAAACUGCAAUAGAUUAGUGUACUGUUAGUUUGAAAUUUGGGAUUGCAUCUGGUUUAAUCUAAUGUUAGUUCUAAAUGUAGAAAAACUCGAAUACACUUUAAAAUUGGAAAUUAAUUCAAGGUUUGACAUGUAUUAGUUGUUGAAAUGUAACUAUUAUGGUUAGUUUAAUUUAAGAAUGCAUGUAUUAAAAUAAGCAUCACGAUACUGUUAUAGUUAUUUGUCUAACCGG
This 1891-nucleotide long non-coding RNA is filed under the name Nicotiana benthamiana. RNAcentral's name for it is "long non-coding RNA (NBEN_LNC008492)". Lineage: Eukaryota; Viridiplantae; Streptophyta; Magnoliopsida; Solanales; Solanaceae. The record is from RNAcentral.